RNAcentral lists this ribosomal RNA (281 nucleotides) under uncultured bacterium. Its description in RNAcentral is "partial 16S ribosomal RNA". It matches the Rfam family "Bacterial small subunit ribosomal RNA", at positions 505 to 784 of the family's 1533-position model. The record is from RNAcentral.
GUGCCAGCCGCCGCGGUAAUACGGAGGGGUCAAGCGUUGUCCGGAUUUAUUGGGCGUAAAGAGCUCGUAGGCGGUUCAACAAGUCGGUCGUAAAAGUUUAGGGCUCAACCCUAAAAUGUCGAUCGAUACUGUUGUGACUAGGGUACGGUAGAGGUGAAUGGAAUUCCGAGUGUAGCAGUGAAAUGCGUGGAUAUCAGGAGGAACAUCAAUGGCGAAGGCAACUUACUGGACAUUUACUGACGCUCAGACACGAAGGCUAGGGUAGCGAAAGGGAUUAGAUA